UACGUAGGGUGCGAGCGUUGUCCGGAAUUAUUGGGCGUAAAGGGCUCGUAGGCGGUCUGUUGCGUCGGGAGUGAAAACUCAGGGCUUAACCCUGAGCCUGCUUCCGAUACGGGCAGACUAGAGGUAUGCAGGGGAGAACGGAAUUCCUGGUGUAGCGGUGAAAUGCGCAGAUAUCAGGAGGAACACCGGUGGCGAAGGCGGUUCUCUGGGCAUUACCUGACGCUGAGGUGCGAAAGCGUGGGGAGCGAACGGG
Molecule: ribosomal RNA, 253 nt
Filed under: uncultured bacterium
Lineage: Bacteria
Description: partial 16S ribosomal RNA
Rfam family: Bacterial small subunit ribosomal RNA
Source: RNAcentral